AGUUUGAACUUGGCUCAGGAUGAACGCUAGCUACAGGCUUAACACAUGCAAGUCGAGGGGAAACGAUAGAGAAAGCUUGCUUUUUCUAGGCGUCGACCGGCGCACGGGUGAGUAACGCGUAUCCAACCUGCCCAUCACUUGGGGAUAACCUUGCGAAAGUAAGACUAAUACCCAAUGAUAUCUCAAGAAGACAUCUGAAUGAGAUUAAAGAUUUAUCGGUGAUGGAUGGGGAUGCGUCUGAUUAGCUUGUUGGCGGGGUAACGGCCCACCAAGGCUACGAUCAGUAGGGGUUCUGAGAGGAAGGUCCCCCACAUUGGAACUGAGACACGGUCCAAACUCCUACGGGAGGCAGCAGUGAGGAAUAUUGGUCAAUGGGCGAGAGCCUGAACCAGCCAAGUAGCGUGCAGGAUGACGGCCCUAUGGGUUGUAAACUGCUUUUAUAAGGGAAUAAAGUGAGCCUCGUGAGGCUUUUUGCAUGUACCUUAUGAAUAAGGACCGGCUAAUUCCGUGCCAGCAGCCGCGGUAAUACGGAAGGUCCGGGCGUUAUCCGGAUUUAUUGGGUUUAAAGGGAGCGUAGGCCGGAGAUUAAGCGUGUUGUGAAAUGUAGAUGCUCAACAUCUGCACUGCAGCGCGAACUGGUUUCCUUGAGUACGCACAAAGUGGGCGGAAUUCGUGGUGUAGCGGUGAAAUGCUUAGAUAUCACGAAGAACUCCGAUUGCGAAGGCAGCUCACUGGAGCGCAACUGACGCUGAAGCUCGAAAGUGCGGGUAUCGAACAGGAUUAGAUACCCUGGUAGUCCGCACGGUAAACGAUGGAUGCCCGCUGUUGGUCUGAAUAGGUCAGCGGCCAAGCGAAAGCAUUAAGCAUCCCACCUGGGGAGUACGCCGGCAACGGUGAAACUCAAAGGAAUUGACGGAAGGGCUUAAG
Molecule: ribosomal RNA, 927 nt
Filed under: uncultured bacterium
Lineage: Bacteria
Description: bacterial SSU rRNA
Rfam family: Bacterial small subunit ribosomal RNA
Source: RNAcentral